ACUACGGGUGGCAGCAGUGAGGAAUAUUGGUCAAUGGACGAGAGUCUGAACCAGCCAAGUAGCGUGCAGGAUGACGGCCCUAUGGGUUGUAAACUUCUUUUAUAUGGGAGUAAAAUGUUCCACGUGUGUGAUUUUGUAUGUACCAUAUAAAUAAGGAUCGGCUAACUCCGUGCCAGCAGCCGCGGUAAUACGGAGGAUCCGAGCGUUAUCCGGAUUUAUUGGGUUUAAAGGGAGCGUAGGGGGUUCGGUAAGUUAGAGGUGAAAGUUUGUGGCUCAACCGUGAAACUGCAGUGGAUACUGGCGGGCUUGAGUAUAGUAGAGGUAGGCGGAAUGCGUGGUGUAGCGGUGAAAUGCAUAGAGAUCAUGCAGAACUCCGAUUGCGAAGGCAGCUUACUAGACUGCGACUGACAUUGAGGCUCGAAAGUGUGGGUAGCAAACAGGAUUAGAUACCCCUGUAGUC
Molecule: ribosomal RNA, 460 nt
Filed under: uncultured bacterium
Lineage: Bacteria
Description: partial 16S ribosomal RNA
Rfam family: Bacterial small subunit ribosomal RNA
Source: RNAcentral